ACGAACGCUGGCGGUAUGCUUAACACAUGCAAGUCGAACGGGCAUAGCAAUAUGUCAGUGGCAAACGGGUGAGGAAUGCAGAGGAAUCUCCCCAGCAGUAAGGAAUAACUUUGGGAAACCAAAGCUAAUGCCAUAUAUCACCGAUUUAUCGGGAAAGAUUUAUCGCUGUUGGAUGAGCCUCUGUCGGAUUAGCUAGUUGGUAGGGUAAUGGCCUACCAAGGCAAUGAUCCGUAGCUGGUCUUAGAGGAUGAUCAGCCACACUGGAACUGAGACACGGUCCAGACUCCUACGGGAGGCAGCAGUGGGGAAUAUUGGACAAUGGGCGCAAGCCUGAUCCAGCAAUACCGCGUGAGUGAUGAAGGUCUUCGGAUUGUAAAGCUCUUUUAGUAGGGAAGAUAAUGACGGUACCUACAGAAAAAGCACCGGCAAACUUCGU
This 436-nucleotide ribosomal RNA is filed under the name uncultured bacterium. RNAcentral's name for it is "bacterial SSU rRNA". It matches the Rfam family "Bacterial small subunit ribosomal RNA", at positions 29 to 506 of the family's 1533-position model. The record is from RNAcentral.